RNAcentral lists this ribosomal RNA (98 nucleotides) under Canis lupus dingo (dingo). The record is from RNAcentral. Lineage: Eukaryota; Metazoa; Chordata; Mammalia; Carnivora; Canidae.
UUUGCGGACCAUACAACCCUGAAUGCACCCGAUCUCGUCAGAUCUUGGGAGCUAACCAAGGUAGGGUCUGGUUAGUAUUUGAAUGGCAGCCAGCAUAA